RNAcentral lists this ribosomal RNA (127 nucleotides) under Muricopsis cristata. Its description in RNAcentral is "partial 5.8S ribosomal RNA". It matches the Rfam family "5.8S ribosomal RNA", at positions 30 to 154 of the family's 154-position model. From Rfam's summary of the family: 5.8S ribosomal RNA (5.8S rRNA) is a component of the large subunit of the eukaryotic ribosome. It is transcribed by RNA polymerase I as part of the 45S precursor that also contains 18S and 28S rRNA. The record is from RNAcentral. Lineage: Eukaryota; Metazoa; Mollusca; Gastropoda; Neogastropoda; Muricidae.
GCAUCGAUGAAGAACGCAGCCAGCUGCGUGAACUAAUGUGAAUUGCAGGACACAUUGAACAUCGACAUUUUGAACGCAUAUUGCGGCCAAGGGUCGGUCAUUUGGCCACGCCCGUCUGAGGGUCGGC